This is a long non-coding RNA of Prinia subflava (tawny-flanked prinia), 1789 nucleotides long. RefSeq lists it as uncharacterized. The record is from RefSeq and is a predicted model, not a curated record. The transcript has 3 exons. Lineage: Eukaryota; Metazoa; Chordata; Aves; Passeriformes; Cisticolidae.
AUAUGUGGGUGGGGAAUGAAAAAGGAUUAGCAAUGCAAUCACCCCAGUCCAAAAUGCUUCUAUGCAGUUGUCCUAGGGUGACUUUAUGAUGUUUGUAUCCCCAAUAGUCUGUUCAGUGUGUGCUGUGUAUUGUGUUCUGCACCUUUAAGACUGAUUCUCAGUGAAACAGGGAGAGAAGAAGCUCACAGCUUGUUUUGCACAAAACUGCCUGACUCCUACACAUUCUCUCUCCUGGACUCUGUGUUUGUCUGAGGCACGAACAAGGGGUGGGACAGAGAUCUCCUGUGCUUUUUAGUUAGUUUUAGCUAGCUAGGGCAGAGAAGCUCUCUGGAUUGUUUUUUUUUUUUCCUUUUUCCUUGAGACUGUUUAAAUCUGCUCUAGACUGAAAACCCAAAGGAGCACCUGCGGCUCACCGAGCCUGGACCUCCAGAAGGACUGAGACAGAUAAAAAACUGAGUGAGCUGAGCCACCCAUGGCAAGGAUUUUCUCAGGUUAACCAUCACUCUUCGGAGCAGCGAGAGAUACUAAUGAUACUUUGAAAACAUGUUGGACAGUAGAAGAUGGAUUGCCUAAAGCCACAUUGAGUGCUCUGUCAAUGCUGAACGCCACUUGACGAAGGUAGCAUUCUGGAUGCUGUCCAAAACCAUCGUACGGUACAUAGAGGUUUAUGUGGCAAGUGGUUGGCAGAGGAGAGGUGGCUGUGGGAAGAAGCCAGAGGCUGCCUUGUGCAGGACACAGCCAGACCCAGCAAACACUGCAGAGCACAGCUGAGUCCCUCAGCCAAGCUGGGGACACUUCUGGGAGAACAUGUUUAAGAACAUGGAACAUUUCCAUGGAACAGCAGAUAUCCCCUGCAGCCCAUGGAGGAUGCCAUAGUGGAGCACAAGGAUAUUCCUGAAGGAACCGAAGCCCAUGGAGAGCCCACACCAGAGCAGACAGAAGACGUGAUGAGGAAGAAGGCUGAGACACCAUUAUGUACUGGUUACAACUCCCCAGCCAUUCUCCAUGUGAGCUUGCAUGGCAGGGGUAGGGGAUGUGAGAAAUAGAGCUGAACCUGGGGGAAGGGGGUGGAAAGGUAUGCUGUUUUGAGUUUGUUUGCCACAGCCUGAAUUGAUUUUAUUUGGCAAUAAAUCAGCUAUUUUUUUCCCAAACAGAGUUUGUUUAGCCUGCAAUGGUAAUUAAUAAGCAAUUUCCCUGUUGUUACCUCAACCUACCAUUUUACUGUUGGUGUUUUUCAUAUUUUACCCCACUGCAUGACCAGACUGGGGGUGGUGAGUUGCACAAGGAAGCAGCUGAAGGGGAAUUUUGCUGUUGGCCAAGUUUGGCUCAGCACACACUGUCGCUAUGGUUUUGAAGACUUUUUUAAGCCUUCUGUAAUGUUCUUCAUAUUGGAGUCAGAAUUUUUACUUUCUCACAGUUUGUACUAUAAACAAUGGCCAUGUUUUGCUAACUGUCCUUCAUUGUUUACAUAUUUUAGGUGGGAGGAGAAAGUUGAUUGACAGUUGGCUUGACCAAUGUGAUUUGUGACGUGGAAUUCCAUCCUCCAAUCCACAGGCCCCAUAGGAAAUGUAUAAAAUUGAGUUUUGUAAAUAAACUCAUCCCUUUUCCUGCUUUGCUCACCAGCGUGUGGUUCUUUUCGUGUCAUCUGUGACAACACAACACUUAACAGAAAUGAUCCUCUGGAUGUCAGCCUCUAAAACAUACUAACUAUGUCAGACAGUAAAGGUAACAAAAGCAAGUCUUGGUGUUAGUAGACUCCUACCUGCUACCUUGUGAUCUCUAACUGCAC